GCCCUGCAGAUCAGCAGACCAGGCCUACAGUAUGCGGUUCUGGUCGGAAGCCGGCACAAGGGGUUUCAGCCCAACUUAGGGAACGCUUCAUCAGACAGCAGAGCAAGAGGAUUCUCUCCCCAAUCCUCCAAUUUUUAAUGUUUUUUUCUGGAGGCGUUAGAUUCUCACUUGGUUGGAAUAGAAUGAGUGGGGUUUUUCUUCCUUAAAAAGCAGAUGCUUCUAACUGUAGGAGCAAUUCAAAGGUGAAACGGCCCCAUUUUGAGGCACAGCACCCCAGCAGUCAGUGUUCACAGAGGAGGACAUGUUCGAGGAAAUGUGUUUCAGGACAUGCUGAACUGGUUCAUUCCAUCUCUAUGAUUCCAUGGGGUGAAUGCUAAAGGACCUACUACAAAUGUCCCCAAGUCACCAUCAUCCAUUUUCCAUCACAAAGAACUAGGGACCUGGGUCUAGUCUGUGUCCAGACACCAGCUCUGGUUGUAGUUUGACUGAUAAUCCCCUGGAGUUCCCUGUUGGUCUGGAGCUGCCCACUGUGGACAGGACCAUGUGGUAAGAAUGAAUUCAGCUGGAGGAAACCUUGUAACAGCGGUUCACACAGCAGCAGCUCCAGCUCCAGGAACCACAACAGGGAGCAAAAGUGACAUCCACACAUUCUAAUCGCUCCACAGUCUAGGGACCAGGGCAAAAGAGAGGAAUCAGGAAAAACCCAAGCUGUAUAAAUAUAGGUGGGGGAAUGACGGGUUAUGCCUAAGAAUAGAAAAAGAAAAACCCUCAGGGUCAGAGGAGGUGCUGAGCUGAGGGUAGCUUCAACGAAACUGUCUGGGGCAGAGUGCCAUGCUGGUUUCCACUCGCUGGCUUAGAAGAAGAGAGCUUUGACAGAAUUUACUGUGCCAUGUCCUUCCUCCAUUCGCAGCUUCUAAAUGAUUAAUGGAAGGCCAUAAGGAUGAGGGGAGACUCCAGAGGGAAGUGUUCAAAACGAUUACCUGCUUGGAAGAAAAGAAGCAGCCGGGAGGGGCUUUAAGAGAAUCAUUUAGCUUCUUCACCUGAGGGUAGGAGAGCCAAAUAGUCACCUAGAGGAAGAUGAGUUAGGAACCCUGUGAAACUGUGCCCUGAAGGGUCACUGGGAGAGGUGCUUCAAAACAACCGAUGAGACUCGCUGAGAUGCGGAAGGAUGGCUGCGCCCUCUGCCCGGGGCGGGAGUCACUGGAGCUGGGCUUGUGGGCAGCCGUCCUGCCUGCCUGCUGUUUGAUUUUAAUUCUCAUGCAUCC
RNAcentral lists this long non-coding RNA (1265 nucleotides) under Equus caballus (horse). Its description in RNAcentral is "lncRNA (ENSECAG00000054114.1)". The record is from RNAcentral. Lineage: Eukaryota; Metazoa; Chordata; Mammalia; Perissodactyla; Equidae.